RNAcentral lists this ribosomal RNA (468 nucleotides) under uncultured bacterium. RNAcentral's name for it is "partial 16S ribosomal RNA". It matches the Rfam family "Bacterial small subunit ribosomal RNA", at positions 28 to 507 of the family's 1533-position model. The record is from RNAcentral.
GACGAACGCUGGCGGCGUGCUUAACACAUGCAAGUCGAACGGUGAAGCUCCAGCUUGCUGGAGUGGAUCAGUGGCGAACGGGUGAGUAACACGUGAGCAACCUGCCCCUGACUCUGGAAUAAGCGCUGGAAACGGCGUCUAAUACUGGAUACGAGAAGGGUCCGCAAGGGCACUUUCUGGAAAGUUUUUCGGUUGGGGAUGGGCUCGCGGCCUAUCAGCUUGUUGGUGAGGUAAUGGCUCACCAAGGCGACGACGGGUAGCCGGCCUGAGAGGGCGACCGGCCACACUGGGACUGAGACACGGCCCAGACUCCUACGGGAGGCAGCAGUGGGGAAUAUUGCACAAUGGGCGAAAGCCUGAUGCAGCGACGCCGCGUGAGGGAUGACGGCCUUCGGGUUGUAAACCUCUUUCAGCAGGGAAGAAGCGAAAGUGACGGUACCUGCAGAAGAAGCACCGGCUAACUACGUG